Molecule: small nuclear RNA, 303 nt
Filed under: Canis lupus familiaris (dog)
Lineage: Eukaryota; Metazoa; Chordata; Mammalia; Carnivora; Canidae
Also listed under: 1 other name
Description: 7SK RNA
Rfam family: 7SK RNA
About the family: 7SK was discovered as an abundant small nuclear RNA in the mid-70s but a possible function has only recently been suggested. Two independent studies have found that 7SK RNA binds the CDK9/cyclin T complex (known as elongation factor P-TEFb). P-TEFb activates transcription by phosphorylating the C-terminal domain of RNA polymerase II.
Source: Rfam by way of RNAcentral
GGAUUUUUGUAUGUUUUUCUUAUAUCCAUACACCUCAACCAAUUCCCUUAUUAAUCUAACAGAUUUUUCAAUGGUCUUUUAAAAUCUAUUUCUUUUUUCUUUUUAUCCUCCCUCACCGCUCCAUGUGCGUCCCUCCCGAAGCUGCGCGCUCGGUCGAAGAGGACGACCAUCCCCGAUAGAGGAGGACCGUUCUUCGGUCAAGGGUAUACGAGUAGCUGCGCUCCCCUGCUAGAACCUCCAAACAAGCUCUCAAGGUUCUUUUUAAAUUUAAAUUCAAUUUGCCAACAUAUAACACCCAGGGCU